CUUCAUCUUCACUAAUGUUUUUUUGGGGAGGAAACUUGGUAAACAAACUCUUUACAGAAGAGGAGCUACAGCAUGUGGGCUAGGCAGAAUGAUAAUGAAUAAUUCAGUAUGAUGGAUGAAUGAAAUGAUGGAUGGGGAGAGCUGAAAUUGUUAGUGAUGUUUUACCUGCCAUUGCCACAUACUUAGAUGUCUCCAGUGCUAAGUGGGAUAGCAAAUGUUGGCAAGCUAUGUUUCCUUGAUCAGGACUCUACAGGUCUAGAACAAAAGCUACAUCGGGUUUUUAUUUUUAUUUUUCCCUUCACCGUGAUGUCUAAUCUCUUCCCAUUCCCUUGCAUUUGACACAAACAAGGAUGUCUUUCAGUUACAGGACACUGGUCUGUGUGCUUGAGCUCUGGGCAUUUUUUCAGUACAUAACAUCAAACAAAAAUGGGUGUACAGCAGUCACAGAAACAUCAAAUACUUUUUUUUUUUUUUUUAAGGUGGUAGAAGAGUUGCAUCCCGUGAAGGCAUUUGUCUGGAAACAAGGAACGUCCACCAUCCUCCAAAUGUCCCAUUGGCCUUCUACUAGGCUGGUAGAACAGGUCACAAAGCUGCAAAGAAAACAGAGGAGACCUUUACCUGUAGGAUGAAGGAGGGAUGAGAUGGCUGAAGUGGAAGCAGAGUCGUUUUGAAGCAUUCGUAUCUUCAGAUGAGUGAUGGCUCCCUGCAUCUUAAUCCUCUUGUUGGUUAGACUGAUCAAGGUGGAAUUAUUCAUCCAUCCACUGGACUCCAUGCUCUAGUGACAGCCCUAUGCCAGUCCUGGAGGGACAAAAGCAUGAGCUCCAGCACUGGUGAAGCCUGGUUUCCUGUGGAUGCUCCUCGAGGCCAUUCUCCUGGAGAAGCCUAGAAGGGACUUGGUUUUAUUCAAAGAUGAAAGAAGACAUUUUUUUCUUCCUUUACAAAAAGAAAAAGUUUUUCAUUUGGAGGCUGAAUAUAUACAUGAUGUGAAGAAGGAUCUCAGUGUGAUAAGAGCGGCAUCUUUCCGUCGUGUGGCUGGGAUAUAUGAGCCACAAAGAGCAGUACUAAUGGGAUGGGGAAGUCCUACUCUUCCUGAUUCUGCCCUAUUCAGUUCUAAUUGUGCACUGCCAAACAUCAUGACAUUGCCAGAAUAUAACAAUGUCAAGGUAAAAAUUCACAGUAGAAAGUGCAAAAAUGUCCAAACCCAUUAACAGACCUUUCAAAGCAUAAAGGAUUUCAGCAAGUGAGAAGGAGCUAAUGUGAUGGAAAUAAUUAUAGGCCUAUAGUAUCAUGCUUGCAUUUAACUGAAGUAUAUCAGAAUUGCAAAGGACACUAUUUGAAAUAUACUUAGCAAUGUAGAGCAUAGAUACUAUUAAUAGCAUUAAAG
Molecule: long non-coding RNA, 1384 nt
Filed under: Anser brachyrhynchus (Pink-footed goose)
Lineage: Eukaryota; Metazoa; Chordata; Aves; Anseriformes; Anatidae
Description: lncRNA (ENSABRG00000022006.1)
Source: RNAcentral